UAACUGCCCGAAAGGGUAGCUAAUACCUCAGUAAUGCAGCGGAUCGCAUGGAUAUGUUGUUAAAGGUUUACCGCCUUGGGAUAGGCUUGCGUCUGAUUAGGUUAGUUGGUGUGGUAACGGCACACCAAGGCUACGAUCAGUAACUGGUCUGAGAGGAUGAUCAGUCACACUGGAACUGAGACACGGUCCAGACUCCUACGGGAGGCAGCAGUGAGGAAUAUUGGGCAAUGCUCGAAAGAGUGACCCAGCAACGCCGCGUGGAGGAUGAAGGUAUUCUAUAUCGUAAACUCCUGUGAGAGCAGACGAAAGACAGAUUAUUAAUCUGGAUGACUGUAUGCUCAGAGGAAGCCCCGGCUAACUACGUG
RNAcentral lists this ribosomal RNA (365 nucleotides) under uncultured bacterium. RNAcentral describes it as "bacterial SSU rRNA". It matches the Rfam family "Bacterial small subunit ribosomal RNA", at positions 144 to 507 of the family's 1533-position model. The record is from RNAcentral.